RNAcentral lists this long non-coding RNA (234 nucleotides) under Hordeum vulgare. Its description in RNAcentral is "long non-coding RNA (HVUL_LNC009808)". Lineage: Eukaryota; Viridiplantae; Streptophyta; Magnoliopsida; Poales; Poaceae. The record is from RNAcentral.
UUUAUUACUUUGACUUUUUUACUAAGUUAUUCUAAAAGAUAAGAGCUAACCGACCAUCCUGAUUGAAUGUUUGAGUACUCGGAGUCUCUCGUAAGUAUGGAAAGAAAGUCUCUUCUUUCCACAACUCCUAAAUUUCCCAUCAUCCUAUCCAAUCUAAUUCUAGACAGACUCAGUAGACCUUACUUUAGUGUAGGUAGUGUCAGAUAAUUAGGAAGUCUUGAUAGUCUUUCGUAU